GUGUUCAUUUCAGCAGCACAUACACUAAAAAUGGGACAGUACGGAGAAGAUUGACGUGGCCUCUGAGUAAAGAUGACAUGCAAGCUCUUGAAGCAUACCUAGAAGCC
This is a small nuclear RNA of Acomys russatus (golden spiny mouse), 107 nucleotides long. NCBI's taxonomy places the organism in Eukaryota, Metazoa, Chordata, Mammalia, Rodentia, Muridae. The record is from RefSeq and is a predicted model, not a curated record.